AUUAUUGAGAAAUAUAACGAAGAAGCCUGCGAGGCGGAAAAGCAGAUAGGGUAUAUCAAAAAUCAAAUAGCUGAAAUAGAAAACAGUAUAAAAAUUAAUAAUCAAUAUAAUUUAGAUGCAGAAGUAUCCAAGCUGUAUACAGAAAAUAUAAAACUUAAACAUCGAUUAUCUGUAUUAAAUCAGGCCAUAAAGGCAUGCUCGAAACCA
Long non-coding RNA from Sitophilus oryzae (rice weevil), 207 nucleotides. RefSeq lists it as uncharacterized. The record is from RefSeq and is a predicted model, not a curated record. NCBI's taxonomy places the organism in Eukaryota, Metazoa, Arthropoda, Insecta, Coleoptera, Curculionidae. The transcript is spliced from 3 exons.